GCCCUCGUAGCUCAGCGGAAAGAGCGGCGGCCUUCUAUGCCGUGGGGCGGAGGUUCGACUCCUCCCGAGGGCA
RNAcentral lists this transfer RNA (73 nucleotides) under Plantactinospora alkalitolerans. RNAcentral describes it as "Plantactinospora sp. S1510 tRNA-Arg". It matches the Rfam family "tRNA". From Rfam's summary of the family: Transfer RNA (tRNA) molecules are approximately 80 nucleotides in length. Their secondary structure includes four short double-helical elements and three loops (D, anti-codon, and T loops). The record is from RNAcentral. Lineage: Bacteria; Bacillati; Actinomycetota; Actinomycetes; Micromonosporales; Micromonosporaceae.